UUCACACACAAGCACAAGUACACAACUACUCUUAUUAUAGGACCACUCUCUUCAAUGGUGACCAAAGACAGUUACAGUUACACACACACACACACAAACACAGGGAGUUUAAAAGAAGUUUUAGAACCUAGUAUAUUUUAGAGCCCUUUUUAUGAUUUCUUCUUUCUCUUCCAUGUGCUAAGUUUUGUUUUCUCUAUUCUUCACCUUUUUGUUGUUGUUGUUAUUGUUGUUUUGCCUUUCUUUCUUUCUUUCCACUGUUUGACCUUUCGGUCUUUGUCUGGGGCAUGACAACACAAGCUUGAAACUUUAAAACAGCGUUGCUGUAUUGGGAAUCAGCUGCUUCUCUUACUGUUUUUGUCUAUUGGAUUGGUGUGGUUCUUCUUGGAUCCAAUUCUUAAGUUCUUGAAAAGAUACACCUUUUCGCUUCUGUGAACAGUGAAGGAGGUAUUCCUGAGUAGAGCUGAGCUGCUUUGAUACCAAACUUUAUUUCUUGUGAGGACCGUGGAAAAUAGAGGUUUAUAUAAUCUGGUGAACCGUCAUUUUCAUGAUAUCUAGUUGGAAUCAGAGGAUGGAAAGUAGAGUUAUCUACUGUUGAUGCGACUUUAGUCCAUAGAAGCAGAAGAUGGAAAAUAGAUUUGUCAAUGCUCGUAAAGAUGGCCAGCAAGAAGAUUCAUUGCAUAAGUUGAGCAAGACCAGAGAAUUGAGUGGAGAAGAAAGUCUGGAUUUUUCUGAGUCAAAAUCAAAAAAGUUGGUGAGAAGAGUAAAUUCGCCACGUGCAAUAAUUUUAAAUUUUAAGCAAUCUCAAAUUCGCAAAAGUUGCAAUGAGAAUUCUUUACUUCGAAGUACUCAUGGAUUGGACAGUAGGAUUCCGAAGCAUUUGGUAAGUAUAGAUGAAAAAUAUCUUCGUCGUUGCCUGGGAUUGAUUCAUAUCAGUGCAUCAAAAGCAGCACGAUGCAGUACAUCUAUGAAUUUGAGCUCUCUGAAGAUGAGCAUUUUGUCUGACAGCUUAAAUCCAGCUAAAAUUGAAAAUAGAUAUUCAUGUGAUUCGGCUAGGUUCAUUUUUGAAUGUCCGUUGGAAUCUGGGACUGGGGGUGUAGCUGUAAGCCCUGCAGGACGAUGGAUUGUAGGUACAAUUAUGGGGAGCAAGAGUAUGAUGAACGUAUUGAAGAGCCCGUUGUUUCAUCAAUUUGGUGCCUUAGAUGGCAAUGCCAACUUCACAAGAUCGAAUUUGAAUGAUAUUAAAGGUUCGAUAUGCUAUGAUAUUGUGGACUCUCCCAGUGGGUUAAGUAUAUCUUCACCACAGAAGACAAAUAAGGAACCUCCAUCUUUGGGAAGCCAGACAGAUGGAUCUGAUAGGGCACAUAAAAGGCGCGUUUCAAUGUCUAGCACAAACUCUACAUGUUCUGAUCAGUCUUCUUCUUCUUCUGCUUCUGCCAGUGUUUCUCAGGGGAUGCUCCAAUGUACAUGGAAGGGGGGGCUUCCUCAUUUUGUAUUCUCUGCAGAUGAUCAGAGGGAGAUCUACCUAGCCAAUGUGUGGAAGGUUGAGUCAACAGAUGAUAAGGCUGUAGACUAUAUGUACUCAUUCCAUUCAAAAAAGGGUGGCCAGAAGGACCUAUCAAUUUGUGAUAAUGAGUCACAACUUGUUGGUAAGAUGAAGGUUUCUGCAUCUUUCACCCUCUGCCCGGACAAUUCCAAAAUCAUGGAGACUGAGUUUGUUUUGUAUGGUGCUAAUGAAAAUUGUGACAUAGAGACAAACACUUCAAAGCAUAGUCUGAGGAAGAACAAGGGCUUGUCAAAGAAGGUGGCGGAAGCUUUCAAAUUGAGUCAUUUGUCUAAACAGAGAAAUGUCUCCAAGUUUGGGGGAUCUAGUGCCAUACUGGAAAACUGUUCCUGGGACCCAUCCUUAGAUACAAGACGCAACCUUGAUGCAUUAGGUAGGGCCAAAAAGUUGGAAAAUCAUCUUCUGCCAAAUUUUGAAUUGGCUGCCAUUGUUGUGAAAGACCACCUCCGUGACAAACGUCAGGAAGAAGUUGGGGGUUGGGGCUUGAAAUUUCUCAAGAAAUCAGGGCCUAGGCAAGCAGUUGCUUCUUCAGAAGCAUCGGUACAUUGUGAAAGUUCUGGUCGAAAUACUGGUGAUUGCUCUACAAGUGUGGACAUUCUAAUCCCAGAGGGUCUUCAUGGUGGGCCAAUAACAAAAAAUGGUGGCCCUUCCACUCUCACUGAAAGAUGGAGAUCUGGUGGACACUGUGACUGUGGUGGUUGGGAUAUUGGGUGUCCUCUCACGAUACUUAAAACUAGAUCAACCAAAGAUGAGAUUUUGCCUGAAGUGGAGAUAGAGGAGUGUAAGCCAUUUGAUAUUUUUAAACAGGGUUCACAGCACACAGCUCCCACAUUGAGGAUGGAAACUGUUCGUGAUGGUUUAUAUUUUAUUCAUUUUCAACCUCCUCUAUCAGCUUUGCAGUCUUUCUCGAUCGCGGUGGCAAUUAUCCACAUUCGGAGUCCCACACUCCGGCCCAAAAAAUUGCAAGAGUUGAAGUAGCAAGAUCCAGGAUGGUGUUUAUUUUGUAGUUGUAAACCUUACUGUGUUAUAGCAGUGGUGCUACUCAGAAGGAGGUCACAGCUUGUGGGUUACUUUCUAAUAGAGAUAUCUACAAGCUCAAUCUAAAAGCAUGUUGAUGGAGAACCAAGAAACUAGAAGGGAGGAAGCCCCAGAAUUGUUGCUUUCAGAGAAGAAGAUAUCACUUGAAAGUUGCACAAGUUCAAUCACUAGGUAUGACAGUCAUUAGGAUGUCAAAUGAACAAGGGAGCAUACCUAAAGGCAGUUGGGCUUGAACCUCCUCCAUAAUCGUAGCUUCCAGACUUGACAACUGUGGUAAAUGUAUUUAAAUUAUUCAAAUGAUUCCUAGUAUCAGUACCUUCUUUCACGUGUAGUUAACACAACUCUUUUUUCAUGUACAAUUGAUUUGCAAGCAACUUUGACAUAUGUAUACCUUUUCCACAAUUAUUGCGGUUUUAUUUGAUAAGUACUUUCCUUGCUGCACUAGGAUAUCUUUGAUAAUACUUUGCCAAAAGUGAGUUUUCUAGUCUAACGGCUUCAUGGCCUUUUCAAUCCUUGAUGCACUAAGAGAUCUUUGAACUUUUUCCGUCAUGGAUUGGACUUAAUAGUUACCAAAUCCUCAUCAAAACUUAUACCCUUCUCUUCUUGGUUUGAUGCUUCCAUGAAGUCACUGUCAUUUAGAUGCUUCCCUGAAGUCACUGCCAUUUGGAUUAGAUAUGUGAUCUUGCUAAAAUUUUAAUUUUGCUGUGUUAAGUGGUCUGAUCAUGACUAAUGAGAACAAGAAGGGAAAAUUUGUAAGCUGCUUCCUUGAUUUAAUUAUAAAAUUCUCAAACCCUAUAACCUAUUUUUUUUUACCAGUAUAGUUACCUUGAUUUUUUUUUUUUUGGCUGAAUUAGUUAUCUUGAUUAUUUUGUAGUUUGUGAUUGCGUAUUGAUUUUUGGCUGUGUUCUUGAUUCAUGGGAACCUCCUUUAUUUAUUUAUCUUGGCUUAAUUGUUACAGGCUGCUCCACUUGUGAAAACCUUGCACCUCUUGUACCUCAUUUGUAAGGUUUGUUAUGGUAUGAUAUGAUAGUGGUCACCACCAGACUCAGUUGCCUCCAUUCAAAAGACUAACGAAUGUACCUUUUACUGUGCUGUAUGCUGGAAUUAUUUACCAUAGAAUUGAUCCAAGGCGCAUGGAACAAUUAAGUGAAUAGUGCCUAAUGUUGGGUCAUUUUCUACACCUCCGUAAGACUAGCUUAAGCCCUUUACUUUAUGUAAUGAGACAGUAAACCUUAUCAUCAUUGAUGUAUAGUAUACCCUCUUCUUAGCUUCUAUUCAAAAGUAGUCAAUUCCUUGAAUCAAACCCAAAGGAAUAGAUUGUAACCUACUUGCUCUGGUCUAGUUCCAACUCUCAAUUAAGUAAAAAUUGUCAUAGCUUUCAUAUAGCAGCAGUUUAAAAGUUUGGAGAGAAACCUUUUCCAUCAGAAAGUCAAAUGAUACUUCAAAUUACAAUUUGAAAGUACUCUAUAUGUAUGAGAAUGUACUUGAACAUGAUGAGGAACUUCAUGAUUAGUUUA
Quercus robur (English oak) is the source of this 4116-nucleotide RNA transcript. RefSeq lists it as uncharacterized. NCBI's taxonomy places the organism in Eukaryota, Viridiplantae, Streptophyta, Magnoliopsida, Fagales, Fagaceae. The record is from RefSeq and is a predicted model, not a curated record. The transcript is spliced from 7 exons.